RNAcentral lists this ribosomal RNA (464 nucleotides) under uncultured bacterium. RNAcentral describes it as "partial 16S ribosomal RNA". It matches the Rfam family "Bacterial small subunit ribosomal RNA", at positions 28 to 507 of the family's 1533-position model. The record is from RNAcentral.
GACGAACGCUGGCGGCGUGCUUAACACAUGCAAGUCGAACGGAAAGGCCCCUUUGGGGGUACUCGAGUGGCGAACGGGCGAGUAACACGUGAGUAACCUGCCCUUGACUUCGUGAUAACUACAGGCAACUGGGGGUAAUACCGGAUAGGAAUCCUCGCUGCAUGGUUGGGGUUGGAAAGCUUCGGCGGUCUUGGAUGGACUCGCGGCUUAUCAGCUUGUUGGUGGGGUAGUGGCUUACCAAGGCUUUGACGGGUAGCCGGCCUGAGAGGGCGACCGGCCACAUUGGGACUGAGAUACGGCCCAGACUCCUACGGGAGGCAGCAGUGGGGAAUAUUGCACAAUGGGCGGAAGCCUGAUGCAGCAACGCCGCGUGCGGGAUGACGGCCUUCGGGUUGUAAACCGCUUUCAGCAGGGCGAAGCUUGUGGUGACGGUACCUGCAAAAGAAGCACCGGCUAACUACGUG